Molecule: long non-coding RNA, 293 nt
Organism: Microtus oregoni (creeping vole)
Lineage: Eukaryota; Metazoa; Chordata; Mammalia; Rodentia; Cricetidae
Exons: 3
Source: RefSeq, a predicted model, not a curated record
GAGAACCGUCACCAUCCAUUACUCAGAAAGUCUCCUUUGUUCCGUGCAAUGGCCUAGAGGCUUCUGUAUCCAGGAAGAGGGCAUCACCCCUUCUGCCUGCGGGAGUAUGGGAGCACUCAGAGGAAAAUCCCUUUGCAGACAUGUGCAUGCUGGUCCUUCGAGGUUGUGUCUCGCUGUGUAUCCUGUGUUGGCCUGGUACUUGCCCUGCAGUUCAAGCUGGCCUCGCACUUGCAGAAAGUAGCCUUUCUGUGUCUGACUCCUUAGUACCAGGAUGACAGAUGUGUACUACACCG